This 70-nucleotide transfer RNA is filed under the name Dipodomys ordii (Ord's kangaroo rat). It matches the Rfam family "tRNA". From Rfam's summary of the family: Transfer RNA (tRNA) molecules are approximately 80 nucleotides in length. Their secondary structure includes four short double-helical elements and three loops (D, anti-codon, and T loops). Further hydrogen bonds mediate the characteristic L-shaped molecular structure. tRNAs have two regions of fundamental functional importance: the anti-codon, which is responsible for specific mRNA codon recognition, and the 3' end, to which the tRNAs corresponding amino acid is attached (by aminoacyl-tRNA synthetases). tRNAs cope with the degeneracy of the genetic code in two manners: having more than one tRNA (with a specific anti-codon) for a particular amino acid; and 'wobble' base-pairing, i.e. permitting non-standard base-pairing at the 3rd anti-codon position. Lineage: Eukaryota; Metazoa; Chordata; Mammalia; Rodentia; Heteromyidae. The record is from Rfam by way of RNAcentral.
GGGAAGGUAGCUCAGUGGUAGAGUGCUUGCCUUGCAUGCAUGAGGCCAUGGGUUCGAUUCCUCAGUACCA